Molecule: ribosomal RNA, 489 nt
Filed under: uncultured bacterium
Lineage: Bacteria
Description: partial 16S ribosomal RNA
Rfam family: Bacterial small subunit ribosomal RNA
Source: RNAcentral
AUUGAACGCUGGCGGCAGGCCUAACACAUGCAAGUCGAACGGUAACAGGAAGCAGCUUGCUGCUUCGCUGACGAGUGGCGGACGGGUGAGUAAUGUCUGGGAAGCUGCCUGAUGGAGGGGGAUAACUACUGGAAACGGUAGCUAAUACCGCAUAAUGUCGCAAGACCAAAGAGGGGGACCUUCGGGCCUCUUGCCAUCGGAUGUGCCCAGAUGGGAUUAGCUUGCUGGUGGGGUAACGGCUCACCAAGGCGACGAACCCUAGCUGGUCUGAGAGGAUGACCAGCCACACUGGGACUGAGACACGGUCCAGACUCCUACGGGAGGCAGCAGUGGGGAAUAUUGCACAAUGGGCGCAAGCCUGAUGCAGCCAUGCCGCGUGUAUGAAGAAGGCCUUCGGGUUGUAAAGUACUUUCAGCGGGGAGGAAGGAGUAAAGUUAAUACCUUUGCUCAUUGACGUUACCCGCAGAAGAAGCACCGGCUAACUCCGUG